Oxyura jamaicensis (ruddy duck) is the source of this 3430-nucleotide long non-coding RNA. RefSeq lists it as uncharacterized. Lineage: Eukaryota; Metazoa; Chordata; Aves; Anseriformes; Anatidae. The transcript is spliced from 3 exons. The record is from RefSeq and is a predicted model, not a curated record.
ACCUGUCCUGACCCCUCAAGCUGCUCGCCUGCUGCUGACUUUCCCACCUCUGCUCCUCCAUGGUGAUGCUCACUUGGCUUCCUCAUCUAAAUAACAGCUUUUACAGUUUGGAAAAAGUCUGAGGUGAGGUUUAUGAUACAGGUAAAACCUUCAGCUAGAGUGAGGUGGAUGUCUGCUGUGUUACUCUCCAAAAAUAUAACUCUCUACUGAACCACAGAUUGGUAUUAUAAGGGCUGUUCUUGGCUCUCAGUUCCUGAAGGCACCUGGAAGCACCUGUGGGUAUGCCUGCCUUUCUCUUCAGAGCAAGCCUUCAAACAGACCUGAAGCCUGUGGAGAAGUUUGGAUACCAAUAUAAAUGAAGCAUCACAGUGCAAAUAGCAUUCAAAAUAAUGUCUGUCGUCCCUCGGGAGGUGUAGUGCUUUGGUAUUUGGAAGUGAAAGAUACUUUAGGAGUUAAUAGCAGCACCCAUGUAUCCAAGAAUACAUUUCCUUACCUGAAAUAUCUGAAAAUUAUUCAGAGAAGACUGAAGAACCUGUUGUUGUCCUGUUUCUUCUGCCUUUUGUCAGGUAGGGGACGGGCUUGAGAAAUUACUAUAUUUUUUUCUAGCGUGAAGGCCAAUGACGGCCCAAUCCACUGUCUGUUCGUUCUCCAUAAAUAUGCUAAGUCAUUUUAUAAAACUAAACAUAAAGGCUGGAAAACAUUAUAGGGAUUUUAAGAAAGCCUUUGUGAACACGACGCUGUUGUUUGCCAGCUGCCAAGAGUUUUGUGGGUCGGCUGUCUGCCUCCGCCAGCAGCAGAAACAAAAUACGACAGGGUCAGGCAGUAAUGGGGCUGCUGCCGCUUUGCAAUUUCUUGGUGACAGUGAUAGAUUUUAAAACAAAUUGGUGCUUAGGUUCCAGAGGAAAACUCCUCAGAAGAUUACAGAACUAUCAAGAGGGGUCAGAGCCAGAGCCAAAUGUGUUUGAUGGUGUUUUGCUACCUCAAACCUGGCGCUGCUGUGUGGGGCCUACAAUACCCAGGUGGGACUGAUGGUUCUAAUGCUGAAAUACUGCCCCAGCCCCGUCCUACACACAUUUCAGGACAUUUUUUUGAUGCUCUUCCUCUAGAUGGGGAAAAGAAGUAAAGAGGAAUCCUAUCACAGAUGAAGUUGUUUGCCCUGUCCCCGCCAGCUAUUCGUUAUACCACAGGCCAAAACCAAUCAACAGGGAAAUAGAUAUCCUGCCUCAUCUGGUCAAGACCCAAGUUGUCAGCAAGUUUACCUUGAUGAAAAACAAAUCGUCUGAGGACAUCCAGUCCCGCAACACGUUCACUGGCAAAAACAUAGGGUCUGGAGACCUUUAAAUGACAAAAGGAUCCCACAGAUGCUAAUGGAUAAUUUGUGAUUUAGAGAUGAAAAGAGCAAGCUGUUGGAAAUCUAUUUGUGGUACAGCUGGGGCACGGAGGUGAGACCUUCUUACCCAGUCCCAAGUGUUCUUUUAAAGACUGCCAGUCCAUACACAGUUUUCUGAUACAAAUAUAAGUAAUGAAUUAGCCAUCACCAAAAAUCUCCCAGACCCUAACCGAUAAAGUAGAGGAUAUUAAAGAAGGCACCUGGGAAUUCAAGAGCUAAGUGAAAGUAUUGACUAUGCCUAGGAAAGGGAUAGCUAUUUGUCUUUGCUGAAAAAAUAAAUCUGCCAUCAUUGCAAACCCAAAUUGUACUAUUGCCAUGUUAAAACAGCACAAUUAGACUGGAAUUACUUUUAUCUCUGUAGAGCAGACAGCACUGAUGGUUGCUAUACUUAGGGGUAGAUAUCCAUACUAUCGAACCACGCUACAGCAAACAGGCAAACAAAAGAAAAUUAAACCUGAACGCUGAGAUGACCCUGAGAUCGGGGCUUCGCUGUCAUUGUCUGUCCCAUCACUCAGCAGGGACAGCAUCUACUUGCAGGUUACCUGCACUUCCCGGUGUUCCCAGAGACCCAAAAACUGACUUCUGAGAAUAAAUUGCUGGCAAGGGUAGGCAGAAAACAUCUUCUCUUGCUCAGGUUUGAAUUUAACGUUAAAUAAGACAAUCCUGAAUUUUGUAUUUUUUAACCUGCUUAUGAUAACUCCUUCUAUUUUGCUGUGAAACUGCUGGAAGCAUGCAGCAGAAAUUACAUGCUGGUUGCAAAGGGAGAUGGCACCACUGAGCAUCUUGUUACUGGUAAGUUGAAGUAGAUUAAUACUCAAAAUAUCCUUGGGCUUCAGCUGCCAAUCUCUUUAAUCAGAUCUACUGUCUUUUGCUGUCAUUUCCACAAGUACUACACUCUAAAUUAGAGGCUGGAUCUCUUCACGUUGUCAUUAAAGAACUGUGAAAGAGCAAUGGCCACGGUAGACAAUGAUUAUUUUGACAAGGGGAUCAUAUUAUACCUCUGUACUCUCCCAGAGCAAAUCAUACUUGAUCAUUAUAAUCGAGAGGUGCAUUUCUUCAGACUGAGGACUUCUAUCUUUGUAGCGUUUCUUUUCAGCCUAGAUUAUUACUUGUUUCCUUUCUUCCCUGCCAUUAAGCACUACACUAGCAGGUAUAGAGUUUUAUCCUUUGCCAUCCCUAUAAUCUGCUGUUAUUUCCACAAGAUAGCCUUUUGAAUAAGGUAUUUCAAUUUCAGUGAUUUGAUUCCUUUACCAAUAUUUAAAUAAAUAAAAUAAGCCAUAACAAUCCAAUUUAGAGCUUACACGACUGCAUUCACUUCCUUUGAUCCCCAAACAUUUGAAAUGUGAUUCCUUUCCUGUGACAGCACAGAUACCGUCAAAUAGAAACAUCUCUCGGCUGUAUUCAGUACAGACCUAUCACUUUUAACAACUUUCACUUGAAAAAAAAAAAAAUAAUAAUAAUUUAAUAACCUUAUUCCUUGCAAAGUGAUGAGUGGAACCAUUUUUGUGGCUUAAAUUAUUGAUUGCCCUGAGGCAUCUCAUUUCAAACAUUUUCAAAAGGGAAGCAAACAAGAAUAUAUUUUACAAAUAAAAAUCAGUUUAAUGAAAAUUUCCAUAAGACAAAUUGAUUAUGAUUCACACUUGGUUUUGAUUAAAAAUGUUUCAAAAUGAUUUUGGAAACUAUUUUUCUAGUUAUACUCCUGAACUCUUUAUUUACUGAAUUUUGUAAUGUUCACAUGGAUGGAAACUAAAAAGAGAAAGUUGAUUAGAGACUGACUGAGUUUUUCUAAAAGGGAGAUUUACUGAAAUGGAUCCUUACUUGCUAAGACUGCAGAAUAUAUAUAUAUGUGAUUCACCAUACGGAUGUAGGAAAAUGUUCAAAUAUUUGUGUAUCAAGUUUCAGACUUUCAUAAAUGUUUGCUACAGCAAGUAACACUGACUGUAAAAUAGCUUUUUUUUUUUUUUUUUUUUUUUUUUUUGCUAUAGAAAGUAACACUGACUAGAAAAUAUCUUUUGGCUUCAAAUGACACAUUUGAUUCAG